Molecule: ribosomal RNA, 114 nt
Filed under: Sinocyclocheilus rhinocerous
Lineage: Eukaryota; Metazoa; Chordata; Actinopteri; Cypriniformes; Cyprinidae
Source: RNAcentral
ACCGGCAGCCGUAUCACCCUGUAGCCCAAGACUGGUUACCCACUGAAGCUAAGCAGGGCUGCGCCUGGUCAGUACCUGGAUGGGAGAUUGGAAAACUAGGAAGAGGUGUUAGUG